RNAcentral lists this ribosomal RNA (235 nucleotides) under uncultured bacterium. RNAcentral's name for it is "partial 16S ribosomal RNA". It matches the Rfam family "Bacterial small subunit ribosomal RNA", at positions 120 to 354 of the family's 1533-position model. The record is from RNAcentral.
AGCAAUCUGCCUUGGAGUGGGGAAUAACGGUUGGAAACAGCCGCUAAUACCGCAUGAUGCGUCUGGGAGGCAUCUCUCUGGACGCCAAAGAUUUAUCGCUCUGAGAUGAGCUCGCGUCUGAUUAGCUUGUUGGCGGGGUAAAGGCCCACCAAGGCGACGAUCAGUAGCCGGACUGAGAGGUUGGCCGGCCACAUUGGGACUGAGACACGGCCCAGACUCCUACGGAAGGCAGCAG